UCCUACGGGACGCAGCAGUGAGGAAUAUUGGUCAAUGGUCGGGAGACUGAACCAGCCAAGCCGCGUGAGGGACGAAGGUACAGAGUAUCGUAAACCUCUUUUGUCAGGGAACAAGGGCGGGGACGUGUCCCCGGAUGAGUGUACCUGAAGAAAAAGCAUCGGCUAACUCCGUGCCAGCAGCCGCGGUAAUACGGAGGAUGCGAGCGUUAUCCGGAUUUAUUGGGUUUAAAGGGUGCGUAGGCGGUCCGGAAAGUCAGCGGUAAAAGCCCGGGGCUCAACCCCGGCGAGCGGUUGAAACUGUCGGA
RNAcentral lists this ribosomal RNA (305 nucleotides) under uncultured bacterium. RNAcentral's name for it is "bacterial SSU rRNA". It matches the Rfam family "Bacterial small subunit ribosomal RNA", at positions 337 to 640 of the family's 1533-position model. The record is from RNAcentral.